Molecule: ribosomal RNA, 242 nt
Filed under: uncultured bacterium
Lineage: Bacteria
Description: partial 16S ribosomal RNA
Rfam family: Bacterial small subunit ribosomal RNA
Source: RNAcentral
UACGUAGGGUGCGAGCGUUAAUCGGAAUUACUGGGCGUAAAGCGUGCGCAGGCGGUUCUAUAAGACAGAUGUGAAAUCCCGGCGUACCUAGGACGUAGCGUUGUGACUGUAGGACUCGAGUGUGGCAGAGGGGGUGGGAAUUACCACGUGUAGCAGUGAAAUAGCGUAGAGAUGUGGAGGAACACCAGUGGCGAAGGCGACUACCUGGACUGAUACUGACACUGAGGUGCGAAAGCGUGGGG